Non-coding RNA from Omnitrophica WOR_2 bacterium, 110 nucleotides. The record is from Rfam. NCBI's taxonomy places the organism in Bacteria, Pseudomonadati, Candidatus Omnitrophota.
CUAACCUUUAAACUCAGUCCAGAGAGGCUGGGAAGGUAAUAAAAAUGGAUAAUAUAUUUUGCAAAAUAACAGAAACCCUUGGCAAAACAAAAGCCAAGGGUAUUUUUUUA